GGGGUUGUGGCUCAGCGGUAGAGCGAGCGCUCACCUCGCUCGUGAGGGGCCCUGGGUUUGAUCCUCAGCACCACA
Molecule: transfer RNA, 75 nt
Filed under: Marmota monax (woodchuck)
Lineage: Eukaryota; Metazoa; Chordata; Mammalia; Rodentia; Sciuridae
Description: tRNA.Ala
Source: RNAcentral